Molecule: long non-coding RNA, 327 nt
Organism: Electrophorus electricus (electric eel)
Lineage: Eukaryota; Metazoa; Chordata; Actinopteri; Gymnotiformes; Gymnotidae
Source: RefSeq, a predicted model, not a curated record
CAUUACAGGCAACAAGGUCAUCAUCAACUACCAUGGAACACUCAGCAAUACAUUUGGGGUUUUUUUGCACAGCAGAACCCGCAUUUUGUUCUUCAAAACUCUGUGAAAAAAUUAUUGACUGCUGCUGAGUGACACUUCUAAGGUCUGACACACCUCAGUCUUCUUGAAGCGCAUCCUGACUCCAGGACACCAGCGGAACACAGUGAAAGGGCGUGCACAGAUCUGGGACAGAACACAACAGCAGACACAUUAUGAUACACACUAUGCUGUAUGUGCAUCUGCGUAGCUUGAGGAUAAUGAUGAAUUAAUUAUAUUAUACAUUCUGUA